AUUGAACGCUGGCGGCAUGCUUUACACAUGCAAGUCGAACGGCAGCGCGGGCUUCGGCCUGGCGGCGAGUGGCGAACGGGUGAGUAAUGCAUCGGAACGUGCCCAGUAGUGGGGGAUAGCCCGGCGAAAGCCGGAUUAAUACCGCAUACGACCUGAGGGUGAAAGCGGGGGACCGAAAGGCCUCGCGCUAUUGGAGCGGCCAAUGUCGGAUUAGCUAGUUGGUGGGGUAAAGGCUUACCAAGGCGACGAUCCGUAGCUGGUCUGAGAGGACGACCAGCCACACUGGGACUGAGACACGGCCCAGACUCCUACGGGAGGCAGCAGUGGGGAAUUUUGGACAAUGGGGGCAACCCUGAUCCAGCCAUGCCGCGUGCGGGAAGAAGGCCUUCGGGUUGUAAACCGCUUUUGUUCGGGAAGAAAUCCUCUGGGCUAAUACCCCGGGGGGAUGACGGUACCGGAAGAAUAAGCACCGGCUAACUACGUG
RNAcentral lists this ribosomal RNA (484 nucleotides) under uncultured bacterium. Its description in RNAcentral is "partial 16S ribosomal RNA". It matches the Rfam family "Bacterial small subunit ribosomal RNA", at positions 29 to 507 of the family's 1533-position model. The record is from RNAcentral.